This 378-nucleotide unclassified non-coding RNA is filed under the name uncultured Pseudomonadota bacterium. RNAcentral's name for it is "uncultured proteobacterium contains 16S-23S intergenic spacer region". Lineage: Bacteria; Pseudomonadati; Pseudomonadota. The record is from RNAcentral.
UCCGGCUUAACGCCGGCAGUCUCCCUAGAGUGCCCAACUCAAUGGUGGCAACUAAGGACGAGGGUUGCGCUCGUUGCGGGACUUAACCCAACACCUCACGGCACGAGCUGACGACAGCCAUGCAGCACCUGAACCGGCAGUCCCCGAAGGGAAAAUCCUGUUUCCAGGACGGUCCGCCGUUGUCUAGCCCAGGUAAGGUUCUUCGCGUUGCAUCGAAUUAAGCCGCAUGCUCCGCCGCUUGUGCGGGGACCCGUCAAUUCCUUUGAGUUUCAGUCUUGCGACCGUACUCCCCAGGCGGCGAACUUAACGCGUUAGCUUCGAUACUGCGUGCCAAAUUGCACCCAACAUCCAGUUCGCAUCGUUUAGGGCGUGGACUAC